Molecule: ribosomal RNA, 468 nt
Filed under: uncultured bacterium
Lineage: Bacteria
Description: partial 16S ribosomal RNA
Rfam family: Bacterial small subunit ribosomal RNA
Source: RNAcentral
GACGAACGCUGGCGGCGUGCUUAACACAUGCAAGUCGAACGGAAAGGCCCUGCUUUUGUGGGGUGCUCGAGUGGCGAACGGGUGAGUAACACGUGAGUAACCUGCCCUUGACUUUGGGAUAACUUCAGGAAAAUGGGGCUAAUACCGGAUAGGAGCUCCUGCUGCAUGGUGGGGGUUGGAAAGUUUCGGCGGUUGGGGAUGGACUCGCGGCUUAUCAGCUUGUUGGUGGGGUAGUGGCUUACCAAGGCUUUGACGGGUAGCCGGCCUGAGAGGGUGACCGGCCACAUUGGGACUGAGAUACGGCCCAGACUCCUACGGGAGGCAGCAGUGGGGAAUAUUGCACAAUGGGCGGAAGCCUGAUGCAGCAACGCCGCGUGCGGGAUAACGGCCUUCGGGUUGUAAACCGCUUUCGCCUGUGACGAAGCGUGAGUGACGGUAAUGGGUAAAGAAGCACCGGCUAACUACGUG